This 284-nucleotide long non-coding RNA is filed under the name Sus scrofa (pig). RNAcentral's name for it is "lncRNA (ENSSSCG00035069577.1, ENSSSCG00065037991.1, ENSSSCG00070018143.1)". The record is from RNAcentral. Lineage: Eukaryota; Metazoa; Chordata; Mammalia; Artiodactyla; Suidae.
CACAUCAUAAUCCCACUUGCUGUCAUUCCAGAAACGUACAGCUUCACCAGAUGGGCUCGUGGCAAAGUGGGAAAAGAUAUGUACAAGCACGACUACAGCUCAGUGGGGAGCAAACUGCUGGAACAAUUUUUACAUACAAAGCCCAACAAAAAGAACAGGGAAGAAGCACCCGGGACAUCACAGCUUGAAGAGAUGUCCUUCCACGAAAACUCACUCUGCGAUGUGUCGUCCUUUACACGCAACGACAGAUUCCACCUCAUGGAUCUCAAAAGCUCUGCUCUGGG